CCUACGGGCGGCAGCAGUGGGGAAUAUUGCGCAAUGGGCGAAAGCCUGACGCAGCGACGCCGCGUGAGGGAUGAAGGUCUUCGGAUCGUAAACCUCUGUCAGCAGGGAAGAACGGUCACUUUGCUAAUCAGCAGUGCAUUGACGGUACCUGCCAAGGAAGCACCGACUAACUCCGUGCCAGCAGCCGCGGUAAUCCGGAGGGUGCGAGCGUUAAUCGGAAUUACUGGGCGUAAAGCGCUCGUAGGCGGUAUGUCAAGUCAAGGGUGACAUCCCCGCGCUCAACGUGGGAACUGCCUUUGAAACUGGCAAACUGGAGUGUGGGAGAGGAGAGUGGAAUUCCAGGUGUAGGAGUGAAAUCCGUAGAUAUCUGGAGGAACAUCAGUGGCGAAGGCGACUAUCUGGAACAUAACUGACGCUGAGGAGCGAAAGCGUGGGUAGCAAACAGGAUUAGAUACCCUAGUAGUC
Molecule: ribosomal RNA, 465 nt
Filed under: uncultured bacterium
Lineage: Bacteria
Description: partial 16S ribosomal RNA
Rfam family: Bacterial small subunit ribosomal RNA
Source: RNAcentral